AUGACCACCACAGCCGUGUGGUCAAGGCCAGAGCCCUCCAGGGCGGAGCGGAAGACCACCACGGCCUUGUGGUCAAAGUCAAAACCCUCCAGGGCGGAGCGGAUGACCACCACGUCCUCAUGGUCACCGUCGGAGUCCCCCAGGGCGAAGUGGUCUCGGGCACUGCAUCGGGAACGGCCUCCGGCACCGCAUCGGGAAAGGUUUCGGGCCCCGCCUCGGUCUCCGGAACCGCAACGGACACCGCCUCGGCUUCGGGCCCCGCCUCGGCCUCCGGAAAAGCAUCGGACACCGCCUCGGCCUUGGGCACCGCCUCGGCCUCCGGAACGGCAUCGGGCACCGCCUCGGGCACCGCCUCGGCAUCGGCCUCUGGAACGGCCUCGGGCACCGCCUCGGCCUCGGGAACAGCAUCGGCCUCGGGAACAGCAUCGGGCUCCGCCUCGGCAUCGGGCACCGCAUCGGCCUCUGGAACAGCAUCGGGCACCGCGUCGGCCUCUGGAACGGCAUCGGGCACCGCCUCGGCAUCGGCCUCUGGAACAGCCUCGGGCACCGCCUCGGCAUCGGGCACCGCAUCGGCCUCUGGAACAGCAUCGGGCACCGCGUCGGCCUCUGGAACAGCAUCGGGCACCGCCUCGGCAUCGGGCACCGCCUCGGCAUCGGGCACCGCCUCGGCAUCGGGCACCGCCUCGGCAUCGGCCUCUGGAACAGCCUCGGGCACCGCCUCGGGAACAGCAUCGGCCUCGGGAACAGCAUCGGCCUCGACCUCUGGAACAGCAUCGGGCUCCGCCUCGGCAUCGGGCACCGCAUCGGCCUCUGGAACAGCAUCGGGCACCGCCUCGGCAUCGGGCACCGCAUCGGCCUCUGGAACAGCAUCGGGCACCGCCUCGGCAUCGGGCACCGCCUCGGCAUCGGGCACCGCCUCGGCAUCGGGCACCGCCUCGGGAACUGCAUCGGCAUCGGGAACAGCCUCGGGCACCGCCUCGGGAACUGCAUCGGGAACAGCAUCGGCCUUUGGAACGGCAUCGGGCACCGCCUCGGCAUCGGGCACCGCCUCGGGAACUGCAUCGGCAUCGGGAACAGCAUCGGGCUCCGCCUCGGCAUCGGGUACCGCCUCGGGAACUGCAUCGGCAUCGGGAACAGCCUCGGGAACUGCAUCGGGAACAGCAUCGGCCUCUGGAACAGCAUCGGGCACCGCCUCGGGAACAGCAUCGGCCUCGGGAACAGCAUCGGCCUCGGCAUCGGGCACCGCCUCGGCAUCGGGCACCGCCUCGGCAUCGGGCACCGCCUCGGCAUCGGGCACCGCCUCGGGAACUGCAUCGGCAUCAGCAUCGGGCUCCGCCUCGGCAUCGGGCACCGCCUCGGCAUCGGGCACCGCCUCGGCAUCGGGCACCGCCUCGGGAACUGCAUCAGGAACAGCAUCGGGCUCCGCCUCGGCAUCGGGCACCGCCUCGGCAUCGGGCACCGCCUCGGCAUCGGGCACCGCCUCGGGAACUGCAUCGGCAUCGGGAACAGCAUCGGGCUCCGCCUCGGCAUCGGGCACCGCCUCGGCAUCGGGCACCGCCUCGGCAUCGGGCACCGCCUCGGGAACUGCAUCGGCAUCGGGAACAGCCUCGGGCACAGCAUCGGCCUCGGGAACAGCAUCGGGCUCCGCCUCGGCAUCGGGCACCGCAUCGGCCUCUGGAACAGCCUCGGGCACCGCCUCGGCAUCGGGCACCUCCUCGGGAACUGCAUCGGGCACCGCCUCGGCAUUGGGCACCACCUCGGGCACCGCCUCGGGAACAGCAUCGGUAUCGGCCUCUGGAACAGCAUCGGGCACCGCCUCGGCAUUGGGCACCGCCUCGGGCACCGCCUCGGGAACUGCAUCGGGCUCCGCCUCGGGAACUGCAUCGGGCUCCGCCUCGGGAACUGCAUCGGGCUCCGCCUCGGGAACUGCAUCGGGCUCCGCCUCGGGAACAGCCUCGGCCUCUGGGACUUUCUCCAGGCCUUGAGGGACGGUCGACGCCUGUCUCCUCCUCCUCCGUCCUCCACGAUGGCGAGUCGGCGGCACCUUGUCUGGAGACUCAGGCGUUGAGUCGUCCAUCUUAA
Carassius auratus (goldfish) is the source of this 2082-nucleotide long non-coding RNA. The record is from Ensembl. NCBI's taxonomy places the organism in Eukaryota, Metazoa, Chordata, Actinopteri, Cypriniformes, Cyprinidae.